UAACGAUACGGGACUCAUCCGAGGCCCCGUAAUCGGAAUGAGUACACUUUAAAUCCUUUAACGAGUAUCCAUUGGAGGGCAAGUCUGGUGCCAGCAGCCGCGGUAAUUCCAGCUCCAAUAGCGUAUAUUAAAGUUGUUGCGGUUAAAAAGCUCGUAGUUGAAUCUGUGUGCCACGCUGUCGGUUCAUCGCUCGCGAUGUUUAACUGACAUGAUUGUGGGACGUCCUACCGGUGGACUUAGCCUCUAUCUCUUCGGAGUUAGAGGCGGUCCAGCUAAUAUCCCAUCGCGGUGCUUUUCAUCGAGUGUCGAGGUGGGCCGGUACGUUUACUUUGAACAAAUUAGAGUGCUCAAAGCAGGCCAUCCUCGCCUGAAUACUGUGUGCAUGGAAUAAUGGAAUAGGACCUCGGUUCUAUUUUGUUGGUUUUCGGAACCCCGAGGUAAUGAUUAAUAGGGACAGAUGGGGGCAUUCGUAUUGCGACGUUAGAGGUGAAAUUCUUGGAUCGUCGCAAGACGGACAGAAGCGAAAGCAUUUGCCAAAAAUGUUUUCAUUAAUCAAGAACGAAAGUUAGAGGUUCGAAGGCGAUCAGAUACCGCCCUAGUUCUAACCAUAAACGAUGCCAGCUAGCGAUCCGCCGAAGUUCCUUUGAUGACUCGGCGGGCAGCUUCCGGGAAACCAAAGCUUUUGGGUUCCGGGGGAAGUAUGGUUGCAAAGCUGAAACUUAAAGGAAUUGACGGAAGGGCACCACCAGGAGUGGAGCCUGCGGCUUAAUUUGACUCAACAC
RNAcentral lists this ribosomal RNA (782 nucleotides) under Neostilbula sp. D0954. RNAcentral describes it as "SSU rRNA". It matches the Rfam family "Eukaryotic small subunit ribosomal RNA", at positions 477 to 1206 of the family's 1831-position model. Lineage: Eukaryota; Metazoa; Arthropoda; Insecta; Hymenoptera; Eucharitidae. The record is from RNAcentral.